RNAcentral lists this small RNA (81 nucleotides) under Flavobacterium sp. 316. RNAcentral's name for it is "Flavo-1 RNA". It matches the Rfam family "Flavo-1 RNA". The record is from Rfam by way of RNAcentral. Lineage: Bacteria; Pseudomonadati; Bacteroidota; Flavobacteriia; Flavobacteriales; Flavobacteriaceae.
UAAUAGCCCUGAUUGAAGAGGAAAUCCUUAAUGUUAAAAAUAAUUUUAGCAUUAAGAUUGCAACAUAAAGCAGGAAUAAGA